AAAUUGAAGAGUUUGAUCAUGGCUCAGAUUGAACGCUGGCGGCAGGCCUAACACAUGCAAGUCGAACGGUAACAGGAAGCAGCUUGCUGCUUUGCUGACGAGUGGCGGACGGGUGAGUAAUGUCUGGGAAACUGCCUGAUGGAGGGGGAUAACUACUGGAAACGGUGGCUAAUACCGCAUAACGUCGCAAGACCAAAGAGGGGGACCUUCGGGCCUCUUGCCAUCAGAUGUGCCCAGAUGGGA
Molecule: ribosomal RNA, 243 nt
Filed under: Salmonella enterica subsp. enterica serovar Infantis
Lineage: Bacteria; Pseudomonadati; Pseudomonadota; Gammaproteobacteria; Enterobacterales; Enterobacteriaceae
Also listed under: 12 other names
Description: partial 16S ribosomal RNA
Rfam family: Bacterial small subunit ribosomal RNA
Source: RNAcentral